UACGUAGGGUGCAAGCGUUAAUCGGAAUUACUGGGCGUAAAGCGUGCGCAGGCGGUUUCUUAAGUCAGAUGUGAAAGCCCCGGGCUUAACCUGGGAACUGCGUUUGAAACUGGGAGACUUGAGUGUGGCAGAGGGGGGUGGAAUUCCACGUGUAGCAGUGAAAUGCGUAGAUAUGUGGAGGAACACCGAUGGCGAAGGCAGCCCCCUGGGUUAACACUGACGCUCAUGCACGAAAGCGUGGGGAGCAAACAGG
RNAcentral lists this ribosomal RNA (253 nucleotides) under uncultured bacterium. RNAcentral's name for it is "partial 16S ribosomal RNA". It matches the Rfam family "Bacterial small subunit ribosomal RNA", at positions 524 to 776 of the family's 1533-position model. The record is from RNAcentral.